AUGAAGAAGGACUUAGUUGAUGCUUUCAAGACAACUGAGCCUAUUCCACUACCAAAGGUUACCACACCCACUGAAAUACUUGAUGCACUUAGAUUGAUACCUGAUUUAGCUGAGCAAGAUAUGCUUCGAUGUUACGGGAAGUUGGUACUCAAUGAUCGCCUAUUUCAAGCUCUGAAGGAGCUGCCCAUUACCAUGAGGAAGACAUGGCUGCUAAUGUUGCCUUGA
Molecule: ribosomal RNA, 225 nt
Filed under: Triticum aestivum (bread wheat)
Lineage: Eukaryota; Viridiplantae; Streptophyta; Magnoliopsida; Poales; Poaceae
Description: partial small subunit ribosomal RNA
Source: RNAcentral